UGUACUUCUGGUUAUUGCGAUGGAGGGACGGAGAAGGCUAGGCCAGCUUGGCGUUGGUUGUCCAAGUUUAAGGUGGUAGGCUGGAAUCUUAGGUAAAUCCGGGAUUCUAAGGCCGAGAGCUGAUGACGAGUGUUCUUUUAGAACACGAAGUGGUUGAUGCAUGCUUCCAAGAAAAGCUUCUAAGCUUCAGGUAACCAGGAACCGUACCCCAAACCGACACAGGUGGUUGGGUAGAGAAUACCAAGGCGCUUGAGAGAACUCGGGUGAAGGAACUAGGCAAAAUGGCACCGUAACUUCGGGAGAAGGUGCGCCGAUGGAGGUGAAGCAUUUACUGCGUAAGCCCCUGUCGGUCGAAGAUACCAGGCCGCUGCGACUGUUUAUUAAAAACACAGCACUCUGCAAACACGAAAGUGGACGUAUAGGGUGUGACGCCUGCCCGGUGCCGGAAGGUUAAUUGAUGGGGUUAGCUAACGCGAAGCUCUUGAUCGAAGCCCCGGUAAACGGCGGCCGUAACUAUAACGGUCCUAAGGUAGCGAAAUUCCUUGUCGGGUAAGUUCCGACCUGCACGAAUGGCGUAACGAUGGCGGCGCUGUCUCCACCCGAGACUCAGUGAAAUUGAAAUCGCUGUGAAGAUGCAGUGUAUCCGCGGCUAGACGGAAAGACCCCGUGAACCUUUACUAUAGCUUUGCACUGGACUUUGAAUUUGCUUGUGUAGGAUAGGUGGGAGGCUUUGAAGCGUGAACGCCAGUUUGCGUGGAGCCAACCUUGAAAUACCACCCUGGCAACUUUGAGGUUCUAACUCAGAUCCGUUAUCCGGAUCGAGGACAGUGUAUGGUGGGUAGUUUGACUGGGGCGGUCUCCUCCUAAAGAGUAACGGAGGAGUACGAAGGUGCGCUCAGACCGGUCGGAAAUCGGUCGUAGAGUAUAAAGGCAAAAGCGCGCUUGACUGCGAGACAGACACGUCGAGCAGGUACGAAAGUAGGUCUUAGUGAUCCGGUGGUUCUGUAUGGAAGGGCCAUCGCUCAACGGAUAAAAGGUACUCCGGGGAUAACAGGCUGAUACCGCCCAAGAGUUCAUAUCGACGGCGGUGUUUGGCACCUCGAUGUCGGCUCAUCACAUCCUGGGGCUGAAGCCGGUCCCAAGGGUAUGGCUGUUCGCCAUUUAAAGUGGUACGCGAGCUGGGUUUAGAACGUCGUGAGACAGUUCGGUCCCUAUCUGCCGUGGACGUUUGAGAUUUGAGAGGGGCUGCUCCUAGUACGAGAGGACCGGAGUGGACGAACCUCUGGUGUUCCGGUUGUCACGCCAGUGGCAUUGCCGGGUAGCUAUGUUCGGGAAAGAUAACCGCUGAAAGCAUCUAAGCGGGAAACUUGCCUCAAGAUGAGAUCUCACUGGAACCUUGAGUUCCCUAAAGGGCCGUCGAAGACUACGACGUUGAUAGGUUGGGUGUGUAAGCGCUGUGAGGCGUUGAGCUAACCAAUACUAAUUGCCCGUGAGGCUUGACCAU
RNAcentral lists this ribosomal RNA (1504 nucleotides) under Pseudomonas fragi. Its description in RNAcentral is "23S ribosomal RNA". It matches the Rfam family "Bacterial large subunit ribosomal RNA", at positions 1440 to 2925 of the family's 2925-position model. The record is from RNAcentral. Lineage: Bacteria; Pseudomonadati; Pseudomonadota; Gammaproteobacteria; Pseudomonadales; Pseudomonadaceae.